CCUACGUGAGGCAGCAGUGGGGGAUAUUGCACAAUGGGGGAAACCCUGAUGCAGCGACGCCGCGUGGGUGAAGAAGCGCCUCGGCGCGUAAAGCCCUGUCAGCAGGGAAGAAAAUGACGGUACCUGAAGAAGAAGCCCCGGCUAACUACGUGCCAGCAGCCGCGGUAAUACGUAGGGGGCAAGCGUUAUCCGGAUUUGCUGGGUGUAAAGAGUUGCGUAGGUGGCAUAAUAAGUAGCUAGUGAAAUCUGGUGGCUCAACCAUUCAGACUAUUAGCUAAACUGUUAAGCUCGAGACCGUUAGGGGUAACUGGAAUUUCUAGUGUAGGAGUGAAAUCCGUAGAUAUUAGAAAGAACACCAAUAGCGUAGGCAGGUUACUGGGACGGUUCUGACACUAAGGCACGAAAGCGUAGGGAGCAAACGGGAUUAGAUACCCGGGUAGUC
This 442-nucleotide ribosomal RNA is filed under the name uncultured bacterium. Its description in RNAcentral is "partial 16S ribosomal RNA". It matches the Rfam family "Bacterial small subunit ribosomal RNA", at positions 338 to 795 of the family's 1533-position model. The record is from RNAcentral.